Long non-coding RNA from Aquila chrysaetos chrysaetos, 271 nucleotides. RefSeq lists it as uncharacterized. The record is from RefSeq and is a predicted model, not a curated record. The transcript is spliced from 2 exons. Lineage: Eukaryota; Metazoa; Chordata; Aves; Accipitriformes; Accipitridae.
AGCUGCGGAGACAGACUGACGAAGUUCUUGAAAAGAAUUGCUUAAAGAAAUCAUAACACCUUUUAAAAACAUAUCUCCAAAGGCACUCAAGGGAACGCUGCGAGGAGCUUUGCGAGUCGAGGGUGAUGGUUCUCCCCGAGAAUACCUCGGUGCCGGCCGGAGUUCGAUCAACACUCGAUCUCGUCCAGUCUCACUCGCAAGGUCCCGUCUGGGUCGCCAAAACCGUUACUGAAAUCCGGAAUAAAACUCCUUAACGCCAACGUGAAGUUAA